Cervus elaphus (red deer) is the source of this 827-nucleotide long non-coding RNA. RefSeq lists it as uncharacterized. The transcript is spliced from 3 exons. NCBI's taxonomy places the organism in Eukaryota, Metazoa, Chordata, Mammalia, Artiodactyla, Cervidae. The record is from RefSeq and is a predicted model, not a curated record.
AGAGACAGUUGAAGAAACUUCGUCUCUCUCUCUGAGAUGCUUAAUUUCUUUCCUUCCCAGUGACCUACCGAGCUCCUCACUACCCGGGCCAUUCUCCGUCCUCAGAGACCUGCUUCCUGAAGAGCUGGAUUUUCCCAGGAGGGAGCCAGGGCCUCGACCUCCCUGCUUUGCGUGGCCACGAGGGAGAAGAUGGGCGCCUUCAGACGAGACACGGCCUCCGGGAAGCCCUGGCAGCACUUCCGGCCCCGCCCCCAGGAAUGCGCCGGAAGCCCCCAGGAAUGCGCCGGAAGCCCUCAGUGUCAGCUGGUCCUGCCGCCCUCACCGGUGUCACCUGCCCCGUCGUCCUGUCUGAUGAGAUAUUCCAGGAUGUAAAGAUGACAGCUCCAGGACAUAAAGGUGUCAUGGUAAUUGCAUUCAGACAGCAGGGUUACGCUCAGAGAGCAGAAGUGAGACCCAGGACAGGUUUCGGCAGCUGCCUUGGUCUCAAAGAUCAGGAAGGAAGGUUAACAUCUGCUAACACCUGGUCCUUGAUGACUUAGAAGAACUGCCUGGCUUUAUCCCCAGGGCUACUAAGCUCACUUGAAGAUUUCAGGCAAAACCUGGAAAAAAAAAAGUCUUUUGAUUGGAUAUGCUUCUUGUCUAUAACUUUCCAGCUAAACUCUGCACACUUUGCUACAGGAAACAUUUAUGUCUUGUCCACCCUGCCUGAGCUGCCUCUCCUACCCCACCUACCUCCUCUCUCUGACCCCCUUCUCCCUCUACUCCCCCACCACCACAGAAGCAGCAGCAGGCCUGCCCCUCCGAGUUUUUCUUUAACACUCUGUCAA